UACGUAGGUGGCAAGCGUUGUCCGGAUUUAUUGGGUUUAAAGGGUGCGUAGGCGGCCCUGUAAGUCAGUGCUGAAAUAUCCCGGCUUAACCGGGAGGGUGGCAUUGAUACUGCGGGGCUAGAGUACAGAUGAGGUAGGCGGAAUUGACGGUGUAGCGGUGAAAUGCUUAGAUAUCGUCAAGAACACCUAUAGCGAAGGCAGCUUACUAGGCUGUAACUGACGCUGAGGCACGAAAGUGUGGGGAGCAAACAGG
This 253-nucleotide ribosomal RNA is filed under the name uncultured bacterium. RNAcentral describes it as "partial 16S ribosomal RNA". It matches the Rfam family "Bacterial small subunit ribosomal RNA", at positions 524 to 776 of the family's 1533-position model. The record is from RNAcentral.